Molecule: long non-coding RNA, 1210 nt
Filed under: Carica papaya (papaya)
Lineage: Eukaryota; Viridiplantae; Streptophyta; Magnoliopsida; Brassicales; Caricaceae
Description: long non-coding RNA (CPAP_LNC013528)
Source: RNAcentral
UUUCUCAGAAUCAAGCUGCUACAGUACCGAUUUGUCAGGAACGGGUCCUGACUUGUGAAGAAAUAAAGGAAGAAGAAUUGUAGAAGAAAUAGAAAAGAAUUUAGAAGGGGAUGAGAGCAGAAUUAGAAUUUAGGAUGAAGAAAGAACAAGGGAGAAGAAGAGAAAAGAAGAACUCUGUAGAGAGAAGUUUCAAAUUUCAUUUAUGUUUUCUGCAUACAAAUCCAUUAUCAACUCUACCUUUUAUAGCUGAAAAGUAAUUAGUUGAAAUUAAUUUCUAACUAAUCAAAACAACUUAACUAAUUAUUUCUAACAAAUCUAACCACUAUUAGUUGGGUCCUCACAAUUUCUUGCAUUGUUUGAAUCCCCAAUAGUGGGGCAAUUGUGAGCAACAAUUAAGAAAAAAGAAGAUGAAAAAAAAAAGGUUCUCAUAGGUCUAACUUAAGAGACAAGCUCUACUCCAAUACCAUGUAGAAGAAUAGAGUGAAAUAUAUACCUUAUUAUUCUCUAACACUACACUCAAGCUAAUGUCUAAAUUAGCUCUCAUCUCGUUACAAGUAAACUAGAACAAGUCAGAACACUUGAAUUAAACAGAAAACAAUAAGUUAAAACGUAUCUAGUUCUGCAAACAACUCACAGUCAAGAUUGAUGAGCUCCACAACCAACUUGCAACAAGAUCAAUGAAUGAAGAUUUGAACGAUAGCCCAGUUAAACAACAAUGAAGGAUCAACUUCCAAUUCAAGAAUAAUAAACAACUCAAUCAAACAAGAACUCAACUAAAAUCAACAGUCUGGACAGCUUUGGCACAUAACCCGUCACCAACUUCUCACAGACAUGAAAGCUUACCUUGUUACAGCAUUUCUGGUUGAUACUACUUCUGCUUGGACCUUGCAUUCUGUCUUAGAUCCUAAAUCCGUCUGCUUGCAUUGAUUCACUAUAAACAUUAUACGUACUGCAGUGGCUAGUUUAUUUAGACAGAGAAACAAACGCAGAUUAAGAAAUGAAUGAUUAUAUACACAAUAUGUAAAAUGUACAGUGGCCCUAGUCCAAAGGUGACUCACUACGAUUUGUGUGGUUGGAUUUAUUAUACAGAAUCUCCAAAUCUAAUUUUGAUAAAUCCAACUAUUAAGCCACGGUCACUUAAUUUGAUUUUCUUAGAGUCACCUCAGAAAACUCCAAUGUGCAAUGCGCUACGACAGAAAAAAAAAUUAAA